UGAGCAAUCUGCCCUUCACAUCGGGAUAACCCCCGGAAACGGGAGCUAAUACCGGAUACGACCACUUCAGGCAUCUGAUGGUGGUGGAAAGUUCUGGCGGUGAAGGAUGAGCUCGCGGCCUAUCAGUUUGUUGGUGAGGUAAUGGCCCACAAGGCUUCGACGGGUAGCCGGCCUGAGAGGGUGACUGGCCACACGUGGGACUGAGACACGGCCCAGACUCCUAGGGAGG
RNAcentral lists this ribosomal RNA (229 nucleotides) under uncultured bacterium. Its description in RNAcentral is "partial 16S ribosomal RNA". It matches the Rfam family "Bacterial small subunit ribosomal RNA", at positions 118 to 348 of the family's 1533-position model. The record is from RNAcentral.